Molecule: unclassified non-coding RNA, 215 nt
Filed under: soil metagenome
Description: partial contains 5.8S ribosomal RNA, internal transcribed spacer 2, and large subunit ribosomal RNA
Source: RNAcentral
AACUGAUACUACCUGCGGGAACCUGCGGAGGGAUCAUUAACGAGUUUCGUCGGGGGCGGUGCCAGCGAUGUGCACGCCCCCUUCAAACCCCUCUAUCACACACCUGUGCACCUUUACGAGAUCGAGGGGAGUCUCCCCUUGAUCUGAUCGUCUGACGCCGUAAAAGCGAAGGAAAGCCAAGAUUGUAAAAACACAACUUUCAACAACGGAUCUCU